Molecule: long non-coding RNA, 2881 nt
Filed under: Mus musculus (house mouse)
Lineage: Eukaryota; Metazoa; Chordata; Mammalia; Rodentia; Muridae
Description: long non-coding RNA chr8:47212443-47215324
Source: RNAcentral
GACAAGAUCAGACUUGGCUCUGCUUUCUACCAAGAUGUUGGUGAUAAGAGCCACUCUCUGUUCUCUACUCCCUGACCCAGGAUUAAAUUAAAGCCAUUUACCACCUGAGAUUAAAAAAAAAAAUCAUGAUAAAAUACUAAUCUUGGCCAACAAUAUAGUCUCUUGGAUAUCAUACAGCUCUAUAAGGCCCAUAGGUAACAAGUGUCCCACAGAAGGAUAGAGUCUUCCUAAGAGAGAGUACCUCAAGACCUAAAUUCCUAGUGGAAACUACCAUCUAUAUCCCAUCCAUUGCCACCAUCCAGCCAAACCCUGCCUGUUCAUAAAGAUACAUCAGAUGUUCCAAUCUCUACUGAUGAAAAUUAUUCAAUGAUAAUUUAAUAAAGUGGCCUGACAUUUGCAGGGCUGUUCCCAGAGUUAAAAUCCCCAGGGCUGUGUCUCAGCCUCUGUCGUCUGGCUUCAUCAGCUGAAGUAUCAGGACUAUGCUGUGACUGAUUUCUGUGAAAUACAAGCCUACCUCAACAACCAAGCCCAAUUAAAUUCAGGUCAAAUGUGGUCAGAUUAGCAGAAUCCCGACUGUAACAACCUCUACUGAACAACGGCCGCAGGAAACUUAAACUGUCACCCUACCUCCCCUUCCAAUAGCCAGGGAGGGUGUUCUGAAGGAACUCCGUGAGAAUGGCAAAGGACAGGAGAAAGUUGAACGGCCAUGAACAGACUCACAGAGAAGACUCCGACUCACUGUUACUAAGUCGCCCUCCUCCCCUUAAUGUGACAUGUCAGGACAGAGACAAACCCCAGCACUUUGUUAUUACACCAUAAGGUUGAGACCCCAACUCCGCACUUCAUUAGUGACAUCACUGGGGAAAAACGGUUUAUAUUUUGUGUCUUAAUUUCUUCUCUUUUUUUUUUUUUCCAUAGUGUCUACAGUAGCAAUCCCCAAUCUUCCUAACGCUGCGAUCCUCAUACUAAGGGGACCCCCACUCAUGAGAUCAUAUGGUUACUCCUUCCUAACUGUAAUUUCUUCUGUUAUGAAUUGUAAAUAUCUGAUAUGCAGGAUAUCUGAUAUGUGACCCCCAAAGGGGUCAUGACCUACAGGUUGAGAACCACUGCUCAACAGUGAUGCUGACCUUACAGUGAUUGUGGGAAUUAGGUGACACUAUGAAUGUUCAACCUACUGCCUUUGGGACCUAAUAUUUAAUAAAUAGUAGCUAGCAUUUAAAAUAUAUAGUCCCCAAGCCUGUCUAAAUCUAAUCCAUUUCUUCUUCACCAGUACUUAAAUUUAUUCCAACAUAAAAUUAAUUUAAUUAUAAAAAAUAUUUAUUUUAAAAACUGAAUUUAGUAAUAAAAAGAAGCCAUUUUAAAAAAUCUUAACCCAUACUAAGGAGGGAGGUUGUCCUCCUUAUACUAUCAUAAGCAUCUUCCUGAUACUCAGUCAGGGCACCUCCCCUGAGGGAACGGGAUAUUUCCAUUGAGAUACAGGGAGACUUAACAAUUUUGGGAUGAGAGACAAUGGCUUUAGAGCAAAGAGAAGUCACAGAUUUCACUGGGACACUAGAAGAUAGGAAAGGUUAUGUACAAACAGUUAUAAGGAGAGUAAAGAAAGCUGGCCUGUUUCAGAACUGUGACUGGGCCAACACGCACGCACACUGCCUAAGAAACACGUCUUAGUACUAAAGAUAGGUGACGUCAGGAGUUAGGGUGAUGGGCCCUGGGGUUCUCAGGCCCACAGUGAGCAUCUCUUCUCAGAAAAAAUGCUCUGCGGGAGCAACAUUAACAUUGGGAGUUUUGUUCUCUCAUUACUUCAGGACAGCUUAAAUAUCCCCAAAUAUCCCAAUAAAACCCAAGUGGGCUGCUAUGAAUGCCACAUUUAAAAGCCAAGCACUCACAUGUAUUCCUAAUGGUGAGCGAGCCCUGUGCCUGCACGGCUUUCGCAGCUAUAAUGGCAACUCCGUGUGAAAAAGAAUCAGAAUUUCCUGAGCCUCACAUAACUCCUGAGGUUUACCAUGGUGCUCACAUACCUUGUGAAGAUGCAUUUUAAAAUGUAAUUUUUAGAAUGCACUGAGUUGUGCACAGUUUUUGAGCACAUAGGAGGUAUAAAUUUAUAACGGGUAAUGAUCAAACAAAGGCACCCAUAACUGUCAGUUUUCUAUCGUGUCACGUGGGUUCUUCUCUUCCAGUUAUUUCGCACCUAUCAUAAAAUGUUGCAGACCAUGUCUCCCAGUCUGUGCUGUAAACACCAGGAAUGAUUCUCUCUAGCAACUGUAUUUUGGAAUUUAUUGUAUGAUCUCUCUCAUAACCCCUCUCCCUCUCUCCUCCCCAGUUUCUGGUGAUUUCAAGUCUAUUCUCUUCCUAAGAGAUUGAGUCUUUCAGCUUCUAUCAAUUUAUUAGAACAUAUUUCAUUUGUCCUUAUGUGGGUGGCUUAUUUCAUGUAACAGGAUGUCUUCUGGUUCUAUCAAAAUUAAGUAGUGUUAUUAUUUUGCAUAUAUGAUAAGUGAAUGCUUUCAAUAACUUCCCUCCAACUCUCUACUGAGUACUCUCUGCAUGUGAACAAAUUAAGAGGGAAUGGGAAAUACAGAAAAAUCAUACAUCUCGUUUUCAAUGAGUACAGUUUAGACACAAAAUUCAAAAAAUUAAUAAUAAAAUAUUCCAGUUCAUGUUCAAAGCAUCCUUUGAAGGACUAUGGUAAAAAUAAAAACAAUAAACAGAAACACAGAACAUAUGGCUAGCAGAUUCCCCAACAGGAGCCCAGCCAAGGCGGUUGGCAUUCAUACUUGGGAAUCAGAGGUAGAAGGAUUGGAAGUUAAAGUGCGGCCUCGGUUACAUAGCAAGUUCAAAGCCAGCCUAGGAUAUAUAGGAUGCUUGCUGUUUCAAAAACAAAGUC